GUCAGGAUGGCUGAGCGGUAUAAGGCGCCAGAUUUAAGCUCUGGUUCUCGAAGGAGAGCGUGGGUACGGAACUCUACUCCUGACA
Non-coding RNA from Trichonephila clavipes, 85 nucleotides. NCBI's taxonomy places the organism in Eukaryota, Metazoa, Arthropoda, Arachnida, Araneae, Nephilidae. The record is from the annotation of a GenBank genome assembly.